CCCGAAAAUGGAUGGCGCUCUAGUGUCGAGCCUAUCCCCGGCCGCUGCCGGCAGAUGCACGCAAACAAGGGGGUGCUAAGCUGCAGCGAGUAGGAGGGCCGCUGCGGUGAGCGCUGAAGGUGUCCGGCGUAAGCCCGCCUGGAGCCCCCGUCUGGUGCAAUCUUGGUGGUAGUAGCAAAUACUCAAGUGAGAACCUUGAGGACUGAAGUGGAGAAGGAUUCCAUGUGAACAGCAGUUGAACAUGGGUCAGUCGGUCCUAAGGGAAAGGAGAAGUUCUUUCCGAAGCGGGAGCACUUUUUUGCAGUGGAGAGAGCCCCGCAGUGACCGAUAGGGAAUCGGGUUAAUAAUCCCGAACCCGGACACGGAGAUUGGUCCUUCGGGGCCCAGUGCGGUAACGCAAACCAGCUCGGAGACGCCGAUGCGAGCCCCGUGAAGAGUUUUCUUUUCUCUGUAAGGAGAUCGAGUCCCUGGAAUGGGUUCGCCCCGAGAUAGGGAUGGUGGCUCCGUAGAGCAGUGCGGUGCUUGCGCUGUCCGGUCCCAGGUGAAAAUCUGAAGUGGUUUAAAAGUGCUCCAACUUGUGAGCAAGUGGUCCCAUUUUACUUCCAAGUGGUCCCACUUGGGUUGAAAU
Molecule: non-coding RNA, 628 nt
Filed under: Ixodes scapularis (black-legged tick)
Lineage: Eukaryota; Metazoa; Arthropoda; Arachnida; Ixodida; Ixodidae
Description: Eukaryotic large subunit ribosomal RNA
Rfam family: Eukaryotic large subunit ribosomal RNA
Source: Rfam by way of RNAcentral